This 7360-nucleotide long non-coding RNA is filed under the name Homo sapiens (human). RNAcentral's name for it is "PREDICTED lncRNA (TCONS_00255604)". Lineage: Eukaryota; Metazoa; Chordata; Mammalia; Primates; Hominidae. The record is from RNAcentral.
CCACGGAGUAAGAACCAGAACGCCAGCUGCCCCAGCGGCGCUCGCACCAUCCACCCUUGAAAUUGCCGUAGAAGGCUGGAGUACAGCGGCUGAUCAUAGCUCCCUGCAGCCUCUGCCUCCUGGGCUGAAGCUAUCCUCCUACAUCAGCCUCCUGAGUAGCUGGGAUUACAGAGACAGAAACUGAAAACCAUGGUUUCAGGCUGCUAAAAACCUAACAUGAAACAAAACAGAAGAACAACAACAACAAAAUAAGAGAUGCCCUGCCCAGAGAGGAGAAAUCUGGCAGUCUGGCUGCAAGGGCCUUGCUGAGCUGCAGUGGGCUCCACCCAGUUUGAACUUCCCAGAGGCUUUGUUUACACUGUGAAGGAAGAGUGACCUAUGGGAUCCAUGGAGGAGCUGCUUCCUGAAUCUGUGUAAAGUAGAUCUUGCCGUGUGGGUAACUGUGACUGCGGUGGCCAUGAAGAGGCACAACUCAGACCUCGGAUCUCCUGCUGCAGAGAACAUUGACUGACAGCCCAGCAGCUCCUGUCUGGAUCUACCACCUGUUCACAAUUCUGAAAUACAUUCAACGCACACUUUCCUACUGAGAUUUCUAAAAUGGGACUUGGAAAACAGAAAAAUACGUAAGCAUCCUCUUUCAGGCCAGUAAAGUGGGGUACUAUCAUCUAAAUCUCCAAAAAGGUCAUUCAACUCUGAUCCCUGUUUAAAGAGAGAAAAAAGGAAUAAAGGAGCCUUUGAAGGCAGAAUAUUGCUCACUCAUCUCUUUGAAAGGACCUCAGACUGCAGAGCAGAAGAACCACUGGCUACAUCAGCUGGGGCAGAGGGGGAUGAAGAGAACAUCAUGAUGCCUGCAAAAAAGUGGGCUCUGCAGGAUCUCCAGUCACCUCCCUUCCCUUCAGAUCCAGAGCUCUCUCUGGCUAGGACCUUCCAGAGUUCCAGAAUUUUUGUUCCACCUUCCAUUGCUCACUUCUAUUACUAUUACUAAGAUAUUCACAUGGAAUUCUGUGCAAACCAUUUUUUUUUUCUUUUGGUGCCCUCUUUGUUUUACUUCCUCUAUUGGGACUAAUGGCCAUCUGACUUGGGGGUCCUUUGUUUUUUGUGACAAACCACCCUCAGCAGAUUUCCUUGAGGUCCAUUUGCUCAAGGGCCUUAAAGCUUUUUGGAGUAAUACAGAGUAAGUUUCUAGACAGCCUCUUGUGCUCUGCAGUAAGCUAAAGUGGAAGAUUAAGAUGCCUGGUGUAUACUGUGUGUUUCCCAUGUAAUGGCAGAAAAGGAAUGGGGCUCAUUAGUUACUUUAAGGUGGCAGCAGCUACCUUAGAGAAGACUGCAUUGCUUGUACUGAUUCAAAAGAGCACCUAAUGAAGGGAAAAAGCAGAAAUAAGCCAAGACUUGAGCUGAGUGAUUCGUUGAAUCAGCCAAGGAUAAUGUUCUUCAGGCACUAUGCACAUGUCACUGAUCAGUAGCGCUUCUCUUAAGCUUCAACAGCACUCACUUCCCCUGUCUUGAUGAGGUGAGCAGCACAUUUAAUUUCAGCUCCUGGGGCCAUCUGCAAACCUCUACUCCAUUCCUCAGCUGUGUUUGCUCCUCUGUUCUCAGGGAGCAGCAUUUUCACUGGAUGCAAACUGUGAGGCACUGUCUGGGCAAGCAGAUUGGUUACUAAUGAGGAAACUGGCACUGACAGCCUUUUGGGUUCUGAUUGAAGAAAAGAGAUGUCUUCGCAUCAGAAUGGUUUAACUUUCAAUGUGGCAUAUCAACUGGUUGAAAUUAGGGAGAGAGAGAAAGAGAAAUUUAAUUGUCAGGCUGUGGUGCGUAGUGUCAAAGCUACCUAGAUUAUGAGAAAUACGUCUUUUCAACAGCUUAAAGGCCACAGCUCUCAACAUUUUUUCUGCAUGUACAACACAGACAGGAUCCAGAAAUCCCAGCCUAUAACUCUUGGUUCCGUCAAAUACUCAACAGAGAAAACAGAAGUAUUUGAUUGUGGUAUUAACUAUGAAAUGUUCCCUAUUAGCCAUAUGAUUCUAUUAGCUCAGCUCAUUCCUGUUAGAUUUAUAGAAACAUUAGAGAUAAUUGGAAUUAGAAGGGCCAAGAGAGACGAUCCAAUCCCAUAUAGAGAAAAGCAAGACCCCUGCUCUCACUGAAGAAGUUUUAAAAAUAAUUAAACAACAAACAAACAAAUUGAGGCCCAGAGAGAUGAAGUAAUUUGACUGAUGUAUUCCAUCAGUGACAGACCUGGGACUGGAGCUCCAUCUCAGCUCUCAGCCCACUAAGAACCCUGUUCAUGGUGCCAUACUAGCAACCCCCUUCCUGUAGGAGUCUUUGAGAGUCAGAAUGACUUCUUGACUGAGAGGUACAUGUCUCUAGGAUAAGGACAAUUGAGGGGAUAAUGAGGAAAGAAAUAAUGUAAGUUAACUAUAUUUUGCCACAUGCCCUCCUCUCUCCAUGAAUCCAGGAUGUUGACCCAUAUCCAGCAUCCAUUGUGGGACUAAGUCUCGGACACCAAGGACUUCUAAGGAGCCUGCUCCAAUCUGAAAUGACUGUGGGGGAGCUGGCCAUUCCCCGAGCCAUUCUUGGAAUAUUGGGCCACAGGGGCCACUGGGGAGCAUGUAUAGGUAGGGGCGGCUUUGAUAUAAGCCUAGGUAUUCAAUUCUUCAUGGGACCCCCAAUGCUACCCCAAGUCUGCACCUUGAUUCCCAAAUACCCAAGAGAGACAAAAUGUCCUACUUUCUCUCUGAAGUUCUUCUAAUGUUGGAAGACCUAGGGUGGAGGCAAACCUUUCAGAGAAUUUCUGCUGGGAUUUAAAUGUAUGUCUAGCUGGCUUUAGACAUUAGAAGACUGUAAUAUGUACCUUAAUAAGUUGCCUUUCCCAUGGUGUUUGUUAUCCUCAGAAGACCCCCAUAGUGACUCUAGGAGACAAUUCUCAUAUCUUCUGAACUGUGCAUGUUCAUAGUUUUUCUGAGCAGGGUUUGCAUCUAGCAGCGAUGGAGGUAUAGGAGGUCACAGGCAACACUGCGUGCCUCACACAACAUUGUAGAUCAAGACACAGUUAAAUGGGCUGGCAAUUCUGAGUUUCUGAGUCCAGUCCCAUGACUAGUAUAGCUGUCAGAACUAGAGGGGCCAACCCUGGGAAUCUUGGAGAUGCUUUAUGAAUAUAUGAGAUUUCAGGCAUCCAAGCUCUUCUAUUUGUUUACAUGUAUUCUCAAUGUCUAUCUCCCAUUAUCAAAUCUAUUCCAAAAGUAUUUUUUCAACACUUGCUGGAGACUCUUGGAUAAAGCUAGUAAACGUGCUUUUAUUAAGCUCCAACUCUGUGCUGACCACUUAUACAUAUAUUGUCUCAGUUGCACUCAAAAUGCUAUUGUGUGUUAGGGUUCUUUCUUACAGAUUUUGAAACAGUGUCUUGGAGAGGUUAGGUGAAUUGCUCAAAAGACGCAGCAAGCACAGAGCUGUGACUUGGUCCUGUCUUAUCUGCUUUGGGGUUAUGGGUAGUUUAUCUUUAUAUGCCUAUUUUAACAGUAGACCCUCAACCACUGAAAUUGACAGGAAAAAGUAUGUGGUUGUUUUACCAAACAAACAAACAGACAAAAAACCAAACCCACCAAACCUGAAAUUUUUGGUUUGGUCAACAUUUUAAUUCAACUGUACUCAAUGUAUUAACAAUGGUGAUUUGAUAUGAUGGAUGUAAUUGAUAAUCAAUGCAGUGCCAUUUAUAGACUGCCUAAAAGUGCAUUGUACAUCAUUUUGACAACAUAUUUACCUGCAUUGUUUGGGCAAAAUGAAUUUUAAAAUUAUUUUUUGUUUCCUAAAUUUGUAUCAAUUGAAAAAAAAAAAGUCAUCUGGGUAGCAGACAGAAGUCAGCCUGGGACUACAGUGGGUCAUAACCCUGAGGAUUCAAAUGUGGGCAAUGGCAACAACAUCAGCGACUAAAGCUGUCAGUGGAGAAAAGAAGAAAGCACACGCCAGCCACCCUGCAGAACAAUGCAGUUCUUUCAGAGUCACAUAGUCCUAAAUCUGGAAACCAUCACAGCUGAGAGGAUAAGCUUUGGAACCCGAUAGUGGUCUAAAACUAGGCUCUGCCUGCCAUGGACAAACUACAAGAGACUGGGAAGUGAGUUAAACCUGAGCUAAAUCCCAGUUUCCUUCUCUGCAAAACAGGGAGUGGGGACAGUGGAAUAACACCUCCCUCAUAGAACUGUUGGGAGGCAUAAAUGACCCUCAGCACAGGGUGGUGUGUAUGGAAUGUGCAUCAUAAGUGGCAGCUAUUUUGAUAAUUACUAAACAUGAUGAAUGAUGAUAAGCGAAAUAAUAACACAGCUUUUCAACAUUUUCACUCAAUAAGUUAAAUUUAUAAUAGGCAAGCAAAGGAGUUUCCAGAAUUAAGCAUCUGAUGGGAGCUUAGACAGGUUGACUUUUACAGCUCAUUCUAACCCUGAGUGAGGGUCUGUGAUUUUAUAAGCCCUUUUAGGGUUCGAGUGCUACUUCUAAUCAAGAUCCUGGUAUCAUGUUUUUCUCCAUUACGUGGAACAAUAAUGAAUAGAUAAAUAAAAUAUAACUGGGAAAGGAGAACACAGAUUGAACACAUGCAUUUAUCUCCACUCUUGUCCAAAACCUCACAGUAAAAUAAUUUAAAAUACAUGAACCUAUAAGAACAAGAGAGGGGAGAUAUGAUGAAAGAGAAAACCAAAAUUUUGGAAGUUGGAAAAAAAUGGAAGGCUGGUUAGCCAAUUAGGGACAGUAGAAAGCUGCAUAUCUGUAAGGCACAUGCUGCCAAGAGAGAAAAGCAAGGCAAUUUGGAUGUGGAACCUCAGACAGGCUUAGAAUAGGAAACAGAUCCAUGAGUCAUGACACUGUGGUUGAGAUUUCUGCUUUAGCCAUUCCAGCGUAUGCUUGUUUUUCCCUAAAAGUCUUUACUCAUUUGUUUUCUCUCUUCCGCCCAGUGAACAUCUACUCAUUCUUCAAAACCCAGAACUGUUGUUGUUUCUUGAAAAAUGGAGAUUAUUCCAAAGUUCUUUUAGCCUUUGCAAUGUGAAGGCAUGUGUCAGGGUUGGGAGGAGUUGGGGAACAGCACCUCUUUCUUUUAACGUCCAAUUGAUUGAGGCCAAUGGGUCAUCCUGCCUCCUUCCCUAAAUAUUCCUGAGAAUGCUCAGAGAGGGCCCACAUGUUCCCUAAGUCCAUUCUGGUUACCCUGUGUGCCUUCUUGCUCUGGUCUGCUGCUCCCAGCUUCUUCACGAUCACUUGUGAUCAUUUGCUAGCCUUUUUUUAGUCCAUUUUACUCCAAAGCAAGAAUACAGUACUUGCUCCUUACUCUCCAAUGCUUACCAAUGCAACAACAAGAGGUAAUAGUAUUUAACAAAUUUUGAUACGGAGGAAAGGAAAACCUAAAAUAAGGUACCAUGUAUCACUAUUCCUGAAUUCUGUCAUCAUGUCCCUUUAAAGGCAGUGCUCUAUAGGUUCCGUCUCUCCUGUGGCCCCAGCCUGCUGCCACUGGAACAAGGGUCCAGGGUUCUUAAUGCACGGAAGUCUUCAUCUUAUCCCCCACAAAUCUACAGCCAAAAGAAGGAAAUACCCAUUGAUGACACGAUAGACAAUAUAACAGUUGACAAGAUAAUUGAUACAGCGUGCCCAAUGUGAAGAGAGAAUUUGUCACGGCUAGAGUAGUGAACCUUCUCCAGGUGAACCAUCUGCCGUUGGAAGCUUCCUUUUGUCCAGGGCUCCUGCAAGGCCAGUGAGUAGGUACUUCUAUCUACACAUGACUGAAAAAGACUUACCAAAACCAAUAUAUUCCCAAGGAUACUUUCUAAAUUCUACCCAAGGAGCAGAUGCUGCUCACAAUUCUCUAAAACAAGGUCUUUUUUUUUUCAACCCCAGAUAUAUCAAGAAUGGGACACAAUCUCCGAGGAAGAAAUUGUCAGCAUCUAUCUUGAAAAUAUCUUUGGUUUCCCAUUACAUUUCGGAUUUCUCUAGACCAUAUUUGUAGUUCCCUUUUUGGUGUUCCCAUUCUUGUAAGUUUAUAUAAACAGCAAUAAGACUAUAGCUCUUCUCACAGGAUACUUUGUUAUUUCUUAAUGGGACUGUCUGUCCUGUAGGCUAUGAGCUAUUUGAGGGCAAAGAAUAUUCUAUUCAUCUUUAUAUUCCUGGCACAUGGUAGGCACUCAGUAAUGCUGCUGCUGAAUUGAAUCGGCUGUGGGAAAAAAACAAAUGCUUCUCCUCAGUCAGCAUUUGUUUUCUAGGAUCUAUUCCAAUAUAUUUCCAACAAAAAUAUGAGAUUUAAAAGAUAGGCAGAGAGUGAAUUGAACUGAAUAUUGCACAAAAACUCCUUGUCUUUAAAGGUGGAAACAAAAUCCACCACCUUCCCAAGAUAGCUGUUCUGUCUCACAUCUUCUUGAAGCAAUGAAAUGAUGAGUACUGUGAUCAGAGAGGACCCUCAGAAAAUAAAUAAAAACCCAGCUCUACAAAUGCAGCCGUAAGCCAGGAGGAUAUGACGAAGGAUAUCAUUAUCAUCCUGAUAUUUUUAGAAGUUCUUUGGUGACAGGUCAGAUUUUUGAGAAUCAGAAAAUGAUAAAAAUAAUCUUGUUAUUCCACAAAGGAGGCUCUAUAUAUAUCAGGCCGAUUUUGAACACUGCCUGAGAAUGUUGAGAAAAUAUUUUUAAAUGUUAGUGAAAUGAUAGGCUUUGGGGGCAGACCCAGCCUCGCUUUAGAAAAAGCUUUAUCGUGGGGGGAUUGAGAGAUUUUAGUGAUGUGAGCAUUGUAAAGAAUCAGCAGUGAGUGGGUGUAAGUUUUUGUUUUCCAAUUUUCCAGAGGAGGGUCCACCUGGGAAGAAUUUCAUGAAAUUUACAGAAAUCUGAAAAUUGCUUUUGAAGCUAUUACAGGUACCUGGGGAGUCCUCCUUGGCCCCACAGGCUGACUACACUAUCCAGAUCUUAAGGGACUCUCAUCUUUCCUAACUUCUAGGUUGCAGGAUUCUGCAGAAUUACUUCUGCAGCUUCCAUUUGUAGCUAUUGCUAAGUGGACCCAUAGCUAUAUGGGAUGUGGGGCUCUGGAUUUCAGGUAGAAAUGACCCUUUGUUUAUUUGAGAUGUUUGCUUCUUUAAAUACUCAGCCAUCUGACUCUCUAAUUGUUUAGGAUUAGUCAUAAGUUAAGUAGGACAGGGAAGAUGUUAUAAAUAGUUUAUUGCAUAUCCAUUCAAGAAAUUUAGGCUAAGUUUAUAUAUUUUACCUUCUGAAAGGAGAAAGCCUGUGUGUUUAUUUAAAGCAUUGUAGAUUUUUUCUCAUUUAGAAUAUAUGAGUCUAGUAUAAAAAUUGAUUCUAGAUGAUUUAUAUGUAAGUUGCUCUUUUCUUCAUACUUAUUUUGCUACCUUUUUAUUUCA